UCCCGGUUGGCCCGGGCGGUCUCGCGUGAAAAAUACAACACACGACAAGGGUUGCGCUCGUUGCGGGACUUAACCCAACAUCUCACGACACGAGCUGACGACGGCCAUGCAGCAUCUGUCACCGAUCCAGCCAAACUGACCUCCUUGUUUCCAAGGAGUACGAUCGGGAUGUCAAGGCCAGGUAAGGUUCUACGCGUAGCAUCGAAUUAAACCACAUGAUCCACUGCUUGUGCGGAGCCCCGUCAAUUCCUUUGAGUUUUAGCCUUGCGGCCGUACUUCCCAGGCGGCACACUUAACGCGUUAGCUUCUCCGCACGGGGGGUUGAUACCCUAUACGAAUAGUGUGCAUCGUUUACGGCGUGGACUAC
This 367-nucleotide unclassified non-coding RNA is filed under the name uncultured bacterium. RNAcentral's name for it is "contains 16S-23S intergenic spacer region". The record is from RNAcentral.